AUACGGAGGGUGCAAGCGUUGCUCGGAAUCACUGGGCGUAAAGCGAGCGCAGGCGGUAUGAUAAGUUGGGUGUGAAAGCCCGGGGCUCAACCCCGGAACUGCAUCCAAAACUGUCACACUAGAGUACUGGAGAGGAAAGCGGAAUUCCUGGUGUAGAGGUGAAAUUCGUAGAUAUCAGGAGGAACAUCCGUGGCGAAGGCGGCUUUCUGGCCAAGUACUGACGCUCAUGCUCGAAAGCGUGGGGAGCAAACAGGAUUAGAGACCCUGGUAGUCCACGCCGUAAACGAUGAAUGCUAGUUGUUGGAGGUCUAUACCCCUUCAGUGACGCAGCUAACGCAUUAAGCAUUCCGCCUGGGGAGUACGGUCGCAAGACUAAA
Molecule: ribosomal RNA, 377 nt
Filed under: uncultured Pseudobdellovibrionaceae bacterium
Lineage: Bacteria; Pseudomonadati; Bdellovibrionota; Bdellovibrionia; Bdellovibrionales; Pseudobdellovibrionaceae
Description: bacterial SSU rRNA
Rfam family: Bacterial small subunit ribosomal RNA
Source: RNAcentral